UGCGCAGGUGGGUUGGCAAGUUUGAUGUGAAAGCCCCGGGCUUAACCCGGGAAUGGCAUUGAAUACUGCUGAUCUGGAGGAUUGGAGGGGGGACUGGAAUUCUUGGUGUAGCAGUGAAAUGCGUAGAUAUCAAGAGGAACACCAGUGGCGAAGGCGAGUCCCUGGACAAUACCUGACACUGAGGCACGAAAGCCAAGGGAGCAAACA
This 207-nucleotide ribosomal RNA is filed under the name uncultured bacterium. RNAcentral's name for it is "partial 16S ribosomal RNA". It matches the Rfam family "Bacterial small subunit ribosomal RNA", at positions 568 to 774 of the family's 1533-position model. The record is from RNAcentral.